Molecule: unclassified non-coding RNA, 298 nt
Filed under: air metagenome
Description: partial contains small subunit ribosomal RNA, internal transcribed spacer 1, and 5.8S ribosomal RNA
Rfam family: Eukaryotic small subunit ribosomal RNA (bases 1-46)
Source: RNAcentral
AAGUCGUAACAAGGUUUCCGUAGGUGAACCUGCGGAAGGAUCAUUAUUGAAUAAACUUGGUUCGGGCUGUUGCUGGCUUCUAGGAGCAUGUGCACGCUCAGCACCAUCUUUAACCACCUGUGCACCUUGUGUAGACCUAGUGUUCACUGUUGAGGGUUGCUGCAGCUAUCCUUAAAGUGUGUGUCAGGUCUAUGUCUUUAUUAUACAUCUUAUGAAUGUCUAGAAUGCCUUGUGUAAUGACUAGGACUUUGUUCCUGUACAUUUUAUACAACUUUCAACAACGGAUCUCUUGGCUCUC